This is a non-coding RNA of Fusarium venenatum, 70 nucleotides long. The record is from RefSeq and is a predicted model, not a curated record. NCBI's taxonomy places the organism in Eukaryota, Fungi, Ascomycota, Sordariomycetes, Hypocreales, Nectriaceae.
UUCCCGAGCCGCAUCCCUGGCACUAGCAGAAUAAACUCGUCGUCUUGCAGUGUCAAAAAUGGUUUGGGCG